RNAcentral lists this non-coding RNA (559 nucleotides) under Stegodyphus mimosarum. RNAcentral's name for it is "eukaryotic small subunit ribosomal RNA". It matches the Rfam family "Eukaryotic small subunit ribosomal RNA", at positions 4 to 549 of the family's 1831-position model. The record is from Rfam by way of RNAcentral. Lineage: Eukaryota; Metazoa; Arthropoda; Arachnida; Araneae; Eresidae.
CUGGUUGAUCCUGCCAGUACUUAUACACUUAUAUCAAAGAUUAAGCCAUGCAUGUCUACGUAUAUGUCGUAUUAAGGCGAAGUCAUGAAUGUCUCAUUAAAUCAGUUAUUGUUUCUUGGAUCCUACUAUAUUAAUUGAAUAAUUCUGGUAAUUCUAGAGAUAAUACAUGCGACAGAGCUCAGAGCUUCUGGAGAUGAGCGCUUUUGCUAGACCAAAAUCAGUCGGGCCUCGUAACCGUAUUAUGUGGUGAUUCUGUAUAUCUUCGGGUUGAUCGCACGGGCUCGUCCCGGCGAUGUAUCUUUCAAGUAUCUGCUUUAUCAGCUGUCGAUGGUAAGUUACGCGCCUACCGUGGUCGUAACGAGGGACGGGUAAUCAGGGUUUCCAAACGGAAAGUGAGCCUGAGAUGGCAGCAGGCGCGCAAAUUGCCCACAACCAGAACGGGGAAGUAGUGACGAAAAAUAACAAUACGGGUCUCUUUUGAGACCCCGUAAUUGAGCGAAUAUAUAAAUAAGUUUGUAUGGUAUGUGUCAGUAAAGUUAACAUGAAUAAAAGUGUUAUU